CUUUUGCCGUUGCAUGUGGAGGAAUGCAAUGGAACAUUGACUGAGAGUGAAUCUGGGACAUGUCUUGAUGAAGAUUGUUCAGUUCUUGAGCAGCCAGUCCCAUCUACCAUAGGCAUGGAUGAAUCCUUGGCGGUCUGCCCAAUCUGUCUUGCAUUGUACCCAGCUGAUGUUCUCCCAUCUCAUGCAAGCACAUGUGGUGACAGCGUAGCAGCCAGUCCCCCAAGGGGAGAAGAAUUGCCAGGACCCUCAGUUCCACAAUCGUCAGUUCAACAAUCGUCAGCAGCUUCAACCUGGGCCACUGAAGUCGACCCCCAAAAAGCAUGCCAGUUGUUCAGAGAAGAUUUACUGAACUGUUACUCUGAAAGUCCACGCCUCUCUCUAUCACUCGACAUGUUUGACGCAGAAGAAGAACAGAACAGUGCAUUAAUUUCAUUCUAUAAGCAGAAUAACGUGAACUGGGCAGCUCCAUUCAAGUGCAGGCUGAGAGACCGUGAUCCAGAACAUUACCUGGCCACAACCUAACUUUGACAGCGACGAGGAUGAGGACGACACUAUUCCAUUGGAGAAAAUCAGUCUUGUCACUGGAUUUUUGAGAAAAUUCUUAGAGGAAGCGCCACCAGAUGUGCUGCGUCACCUGAUGAAGUUUUGGGUGGGGUGGGAACUGCCAACAACAAAACUCAAUGUUGACGUUGUAACCUCAACUUAUCCAGUGGCUCUCACCUGCUUCUUCAAGUUGAAGCUCCCAGCCACUACCAGACCUACAAGAUUUUUCACCAGGACUUGAUGAUGGCCCUCAGUUCCAUAAGUUUCUUUGUAAAGCAGAUUUGUCUAAAUUUGUUACCCCUUUACAGUGAUGUGUUGUUAAUACAACUGUACUGCUACAUUUGA
Molecule: long non-coding RNA, 888 nt
Organism: Perca flavescens (yellow perch)
Lineage: Eukaryota; Metazoa; Chordata; Actinopteri; Perciformes; Percidae
Exons: 7
Source: RefSeq, a predicted model, not a curated record